This 517-nucleotide ribosomal RNA is filed under the name uncultured bacterium. RNAcentral's name for it is "bacterial SSU rRNA". It matches the Rfam family "Bacterial small subunit ribosomal RNA", at positions 21 to 518 of the family's 1533-position model. The record is from RNAcentral.
GGCUCAGAACGAACGCGUGCGGCGUGCUUAACACAUGCAAGUCGAACGCGAAAGGGACUUCGGUCCUGAGUAAAGUGGCGCACGGGUGAGUAACGCGUAGAUAACCUGUCUUCAUGUCUGGAAUAAUACGCCGAAAGGGGUACUAAUACCGGAUAUUCUUGCUUUUCAUAAGUUAUGCAAGCAAAGGUGGCCUCUGCAUAUGCUACUGCAUGAAGAGGGGUCUGCGUACCAUUAGCUAGUAGGUGGGGUAAUGGCCUACCUAGGCGACGAUGGUUAGCGGGUCUGAGAGGAUGAUCCGCCACACUGGCACUGGAACACGGGCCAGACUCCUACGGGAGGCAGCAGUGAGGAAUAUUGCGCAAUGGGGGAAACCCUGACGCAGCGACGCCGCGUGAGUGAGGAAGGCCUUCGGGUCGUAAAGCUCUGUCAAGAGGAAAGAAGUGUACAAUGGCUAAUACCUGUUGUAUUUGACGGUACCUCUAAAGGAAGCACCGGCUAACUCCGUGCCAGCCGCGGC